UUUUUGCUCCCGAGAUUUUUAAACUCGACCACUUGGCCGCAGGCUGGGUUGGCUCAAACUAUGCGUCCCUUGUUGGUGUUAGGAGCCGAAACUGGGUGGGCUCCGUGGGAGGAACCCAGAAUGGGGGUAACCUCGGGAACAGCGGGUGAAGGACAGGAACUUGACGAGGAAGCAUGAUUUAAAACGAAGCCUAGUGUGGCGAUGCAAGUCUGUGAUCCUACCUGAGAGGCGGAGGCAGGCGAAUCGGGAAUUCAUGAUCAUCUUCAGCGACAUACUUCCUUCAGAAAAACCACCCAGAGGAGCAGAAAAUGGAGCACAUGUUAAAGACUAGGUUCAGUGCUCAUGGAUCAGUAUGCUGCCCUCCAGAGGUCACCAGUCUGCAGUCGGUCUCACUGGGCUAAGCGAAGAUGAAGACUAAACUUCUAGAAACUCUACAGCCAUCCUGUUUCCCAUCCUUCCUAGCUUCUAGAAGCUUCCAGCAUUGUUUAACUGCUGAUCCUCCUGUAUCUUCAAAGGCAAGAUAAUGGUUUGUCCUUCUCCUGUGACCUCACUCUGACCUCACUUCUGUUGAUAGGCCUUUCUUUGAAUAUUCCCCCUCACCUAAUUUGGACAUUAUUUGGAAUUAAAUUGAUCCCACCAGGAUAGCUCUAUGUGACUUCUCUCUCUUUCCUUUUAUUAGGUAAGUGAAGUCCCUCUGCCACUGGAACUCCUUUGCCAUGAAUAUAGCAUGUUCCCAGGUCCUGAGCUAGGCUAUGGUCAUCUUUAUUUAUGCAUUAUCACUGUAUAUGUGUAUGAUUGUGGGUGGGGGUGUAGACAUCACACCUGUACAUAACUCAUGCUGGAGGAGAGAGGAUAGUUUUCAUAAAUUGGUUCUUUUCCUUGCCCCUUGAGUUCUCAGGAUCUAACUCCCUUCAUUAGGCUUGCAUGGCAGGCACUAAAUGUGGUCUCCUCUUGUUGUUGUUUUUUUAACUGAGAUGUCUUUAAGUUAUAAAUAUUAUAAUGAGGAAAAUCCAGGUCUACAGAACAAAGAAAUAACUAGAAGCUAGGAAGCUCGUAAAGAACAUGAGGCCAGGCUGUAUGGUACAGACCUGUAACGUCAGCUACUCUGGGAGUUAUGUCAGGAGGAUCAAAGGUUCAAGACCUGGCUGGACAACUUAUUGAGAUCUGUCUCAAAGGAAAAAUUGCUUGCCUAGACAAACUGUAGCUUCAGUAACAAAACAACAGUGUCGAAAUUACCUAUAAUAUUACUAUGCUGAAUCACUAUUACGUUUUUGUAUGUGUUUCCAAUCUUCCUGUCUUGUCCUUAGCAUGACUGUUUCUGGCAUUUUAGGUCUUGUUAAUUAAUCACGUAAGUGAAUCAGAGAUUCCAAAUGUGUCUCAAGGGAAACCCUUGUCAGCUAUUGGUCAUGUUAACCCAGGAGCAUGUGGGGAAACAGAGCUGACACGGUGAACUCUGUCUUCCUUAGGAAAACAUCACAUCUCUACUUUAUAGGAUAAAAUGUAUAUCAUUUGAAACAAUUCCCAAUGCAGCCAGCUAGCAAGAAACAGCUGGCUUGGGCCUGGAGCAAUAGCUCAGUGGCUAAAAAGACUGUUUUUAAAAAAAGAAAGAAAGAA
This is a long non-coding RNA of Nannospalax galili (Upper Galilee mountains blind mole rat), 1614 nucleotides long. RefSeq lists it as uncharacterized. The record is from RefSeq and is a predicted model, not a curated record. Lineage: Eukaryota; Metazoa; Chordata; Mammalia; Rodentia; Spalacidae. The transcript has 3 exons.